GAUGAAGAACGCAGCGAAAUGCGAUAAGUAAUAUGAAUUGCAGAUUUUCGUGAAUCAUCGAAUCUUUGAACGCACAUUGCGCCCUUUGGUAUUCCAAAGGGCAUGCCUGUUUGAGCGUCAUUUCUCUCUCAAAUCUUCGGAUUUGGUUUUGAGUGAUACUCUUAGUCAGACUAGGCGUUUGCUUGAAAUGUAUUGGCAUGAGUGGUACUAGAUAGUGCUAAACUGUUUCAAUGUAUUAGGUUUAUCCAACUUGUUGACCAGUGAAGUAUUUGUUUAUUACACAGGCUCGGCCUUACAACAACAAACAAAGUUUGACCUCAAAUCAGGUAGGACUACCCGCUGAACUUAAGCAUAUCAAUAAGCGGAGGA
RNAcentral lists this unclassified non-coding RNA (369 nucleotides) under soil metagenome. RNAcentral's name for it is "partial contains 5.8S ribosomal RNA, internal transcribed spacer 2, and large subunit ribosomal RNA". The stretch from base 1 to 120 matches the Rfam family "5.8S ribosomal RNA", at positions 35 to 154 of the family's 154-position model. The record is from RNAcentral.